This 94-nucleotide transfer RNA is filed under the name Streptomyces flavofungini. RNAcentral describes it as "tRNA-Thr". Lineage: Bacteria; Bacillati; Actinomycetota; Actinomycetes; Kitasatosporales; Streptomycetaceae. The record is from RNAcentral.
UCGCGGUGGCGUACGGCAUGUGCACGGUGGCGUUCGUGCCGCGGCCGCUGCUGAACCUGGCGGCGGGCGCGCUGUUCGGCUCGCAGGCCGGGAU